This 401-nucleotide ribosomal RNA is filed under the name uncultured bacterium. RNAcentral's name for it is "bacterial SSU rRNA". It matches the Rfam family "Bacterial small subunit ribosomal RNA", at positions 354 to 772 of the family's 1533-position model. The record is from RNAcentral.
GUGGGGAAUAUUGGACAAUGGGCGAAAGCCUGAUCCAGCAAUGCCGCGUGAGUGAUGAAGGCCUUAGGGUUGUAAAGCUCUUUUACCCGGGAUGAUAAUGACAGUACCGGGAGAAUAAGCCCCGGCUAACUCCGUGCCAGCAGCCGCGGUAAUACGAAGGGGGCUAGCGUUGCUCGGAAUUACUGGGCGUAAAGCGCACGUAGGCGGACCGAUAAGUCGGGGGUGAAAUCCUGGAGCUCAACUCCAGAACUGCCUUCGAAACUGCCGGUCUUGAGUUCGGGAGAGGUGAGUGGAACUGCGAGUGUAGAGGUGAAAUUCGUAGAUAUUCGCAAGAACACCAGUGGCGAAGGCGGCUCACUGGCCCGAUACUGACGCUGAGGUGCGAAAGCGUGGGGAGCAAA